This 245-nucleotide ribosomal RNA is filed under the name uncultured bacterium. RNAcentral describes it as "partial 16S ribosomal RNA". It matches the Rfam family "Bacterial small subunit ribosomal RNA", at positions 524 to 768 of the family's 1533-position model. The record is from RNAcentral.
UACGGGGGGAGCAAGCGUUGUUCGGAAUCACUGGGCGUAAAGGGCGCGUAGGCGGUGAGGUAAGUGGGAUGUGAAAUCCUCCGGCUCACCCGGAGACAUGCAUCCUAUACUGCUUCGCUAGAGUGCAGCAGGGGAAACGGGAAUUCCAGGUGUAGCGGUGAAAUGCGUAGAUAUCUGGAGGAACACCGGUGGCGAAGGCGCGUUUCUGGGCUGCCACUGACGCUGAUGCGCGAAAGCUGGGGGAG